This 529-nucleotide ribosomal RNA is filed under the name uncultured bacterium. RNAcentral describes it as "bacterial SSU rRNA". It matches the Rfam family "Bacterial small subunit ribosomal RNA", at positions 777 to 1304 of the family's 1533-position model. The record is from RNAcentral.
AAUAGAUACCCGGCUAGUCCACGCCGUAAACGAUGAGUACUAGUUAUUGGAGGUAUUGACUCCUUCAGUGACGCAGCUAACGCAUUAAGUACUCCGCCUGGGAAGUACGGUCGCAAGACUAAAACUCAAACAAAUUGACGGGGGCCCGCACAAGCGGUGGAUUAUGUGGUUUAAUUCGAAGCAACGCGCAGAACCUUACCUAGGCUUGAACUCCUACGAAUCCGGGGUAAUGCCUGGAGUGUCCGCAAGGAAAUGUAGUGAGAGGUGCUGCAUGGCUGUCGUCAGCUCGUGUUGUGAAAUGUUGGGUUAAGUCUCGCAACGAGCGCAACCCCUAUCGUCUGUUGCCAGCAUUAAGUUGGGCACUCUGACGAGACUGCCUGGGUUAACCAGGAGGAAGGUGGGGAUGACGCCAAGUCCUCAUGGCCCUUAUGUCUAGGGCUACACACGUAAUACAAUGGCGCGUACAAAGGGAAGCGAACUCGCAAGGGGAAGCAAAUCUCAAAAAGCGCGCCUCAGUUCGGAUUGGAGU